CCUACGUGUGGCAGCAGUGGGGAAUAUUGCACAAUGGGGGCAACCCUGAUGCAGCGACGCAGCGUGAGUGAAGAAGUAAUUCGUUGUGUAAAGCUCUAUCAGCAGGGAAGAAAAUGACGGUACCUGAGUAAGAAGCCCCGGCUAAAUACGGUCCAGCAGCCGCGGUAAUACGUAGGGGGCAAGCGUUAUCCGGAUUUACUGGGUGUAAAGGGAGCGUAGACGGCAGUGCAAGUCUGGAGUGAAAGGCGUGGGCUCAACCCUCGGACUGCUCUGGAAACUGUAAGGCUGGAGUGCAGGAGUGGUAAGCGGAAUUCCUAGUGUAGCGGUGAAAUGCGUAGAUAUGAGGAGGAACACCAGUGGCGAAGGCGGCUUACUGGACUGUAACUGACGUUGAGGCUCGAAAGCGUGGGGAGCAAACAGGAUUAGAUACCCUGGUAGUC
Molecule: ribosomal RNA, 440 nt
Filed under: uncultured bacterium
Lineage: Bacteria
Description: partial 16S ribosomal RNA
Rfam family: Bacterial small subunit ribosomal RNA
Source: RNAcentral